This 71-nucleotide transfer RNA is filed under the name Rattus norvegicus (Norway rat). It matches the Rfam family "tRNA". Rfam says of the family: Transfer RNA (tRNA) molecules are approximately 80 nucleotides in length. Lineage: Eukaryota; Metazoa; Chordata; Mammalia; Rodentia; Muridae. The record is from Rfam by way of RNAcentral.
GGGGAUUUAGCUCAGUGGUAGAGCGCUUGCCUAGCAAGCUUGCUAGGUCCUGGGUUCGGUCCCCAGCUCCG